This 468-nucleotide ribosomal RNA is filed under the name uncultured bacterium. RNAcentral describes it as "partial 16S ribosomal RNA". It matches the Rfam family "Bacterial small subunit ribosomal RNA", at positions 28 to 507 of the family's 1533-position model. The record is from RNAcentral.
GACGAACGCUGGCGGCGUGCUUAACACAUGCAAGUCGAACGGAAAGGCCCUGCUUUUGUGGGGUGCUCGAGUGGCGAACGGGUGAGUAACACGUGAGUUACCUGCCCUUGACUUUGGGAUAACUUCAGGAAACUGGGGCUAAUACCGGAUAGGAGCUCCUGCUGCAUGGUGGGGGUUGGAAAGUUUCGGCGGUUGGGGAUGGACUCGCGGCUUAUCAGCUUGUUGGUGGGGGAGUGGCUUACCAAGGCUUUGACGGGUAGCCGGCCUGAGAGGGUGACCGGCCACAUUGGGACUGAGAUACGGACCAGACUCCUACGGGAGGCAGCAGUGGGGAAUAUUGCACAAUGGGCGGAAGCCUGAUGCAGCAACGCCGCGUGCGGGAUGACGGCCUUCGGGUUGUAAACCGCUUUCGCCUGUGACGAAGCGUGAGUGACGGUAAUGGGUAAAGAAGCACCGGCUAACUACGUG